This 1403-nucleotide ribosomal RNA is filed under the name metagenome. RNAcentral describes it as "SSU rRNA". It matches the Rfam family "Eukaryotic small subunit ribosomal RNA", at positions 1 to 1432 of the family's 1831-position model. The record is from RNAcentral.
UCUGGUUGAUCCUGCCAGUAGUCAUAUGCUUGUCUCAAAGAUUAAGCCAUGCACGUCUAAGGAUAAAUAUUUUUAACCAUAAACCUGCGAAAGGCUCAUUAAAUCAGUAAUAAUCUAUUCUAUUAUUUAAAUUCUAUUUGGAUAACUGUAGUAAUUCUAGAGCUAAUACAUGCAAAAAACCUGAACUUUACAGAACGGGUGUACUUAUUAGAUAUUAAAACCGAUUACAAUUUAUUGUAUACUUAAAAUGAUUUAAAAUAAGUUUAUGAAUCGCAGAUCAUUUUGUGAUGAUAAGAAUGAAUUUCUGCCCUAUCAACUUUCGAUGGUAAUGUAGAGGAUUACCAUGGUGAUGACGGGUAACGGGGAAUUAGGGUUUGAUUCCGGAGAAAAGGCCUGAGAGACGGCCAUUACUUCUAAGGAAGGCAGCAGGCGCGUAAAUUACCCAAUCCUAAUACGGGGAGGUAGUGACAAGAAAUAUUGAUAUUGGACCCAAAGGGUACAAUGAUUGAAAUGAGAACAAUAUAAAAAACUUAACGACUAACAAUUGGAGGGCAAGUCUGGUGCCAGCAGCCGCGGUAAUUCCAGCUCCAAGAGUGUAUAUUAAAGUUGUUGCGGUUAAAAAGCUCGUAGUUGAAUUUCUGAAAAUAAAUUUGUGAUUGAUUUAACCGUCUUGAUCAAAAAUUAUUAUCAUACUUGGUGAGUGGAAACAUUUACCUUAAUUACUUUGAAAAAAUUAGAGUGUUCAAAGCAAGAUUCACAUCUGAAUAAUACAGCAUGGGAUAAUAUAAUAUGACAUUAGUUAAAAUUUGUUGGUUUCUUUGGCUAAUGUAAUGAUUAAAAGGGACAGUUGGGGUAAUUUAUAUUGGUCGGGGAGGGGUGAAAUCCUAUGAUCCUUCCAAGAUAAACUAGUGCGAAAGCAUUUUACCAGGAUGUUUUCAUUAAUCAAGAACGAAAGUUGGGGGAUCGAAGAUGAUCAGAUACCGUCGUAGUCUCAACCAUAAACUAUGUCGACUAAGGAUGAUAAAAUAUUAAAUGAAUGAUUUUUGUCGCACUUUACAAGAAAUUAUAAGUAUUCAGACUCCGGGGGGAGUAUGGUCGCAAGGCUGAAACUUAAAGGAAUUGACGGAAGGGCACCACCAGGAGUGGAACCUGCGGCUUAAUUUGACCCAACACGGGGAAACUUACUAGGUCAGGACACAGUAAGGAUUGACAGAUUGAAAGCUCUUUCUUGAUUUUGUGGAUGGUGGUGCAUGGCCGUUUUUAGUUGGUGGAUUGAUUUGUCUGGUUAAUUCCGAAAACGAACGAGACCUUAACCUGUUAACUAUGUGAUAUUAAAAUUCGUUCUCGGACUAAAUAUUUGAUAUUAAAAAUUCAAUACUUCUUAAAGGAACAAUUCAAACCAG